Molecule: long non-coding RNA, 1312 nt
Filed under: Homo sapiens (human)
Lineage: Eukaryota; Metazoa; Chordata; Mammalia; Primates; Hominidae
Description: Pvt1 oncogene
Rfam family: Pvt1 oncogene conserved region 1 (bases 16-193)
Source: RNAcentral
GAGCGCGUGUGGCGGCCGAGCACAUGGGCCCGCGGGCCGGGCGGGCUCGGGGCGGCCGGGACGAGGAGGGGCGACGACGAGCUGCGAGCAAAGAUGUGCCCCGGGACCCCCGGCACCUUCCAGUGGAUUUCCUUGCGGAAAGGAUGUUGGCGGUCCCUGUGACCUGUGGAGACACGGCCAGAUCUGCCCUCCAGAUUUAUUAGGAGAAAAACCUUCCCGGAAGCUGCAGAAGGACAAAUACAGAAUCCGUGUCUGGGAGAAACCUCGUGGCCUGGUCUCCAUUAUUUGAGAUGAGUUACAUCUUGGAGGUGAGGACGUGCCUCGUGGUCUAAAGCUUCGGCACAAGGGCCCAACUGGAAUUCCACUUACGGGCCUGAUCUUUUGGCCAGAAGGAGAUUAAAAAGAUGCCCCUCAAGAUGGCUGUGCCUGUCAGCUGCAUGGAGCUUCGUUCAAGUAUUUUCUGAGCCUGAUGGAUUUACAGUGAUCUUCAGUGGUCUGGGGAAUAACGCUGGUGGAACCAUGCACUGGAAUGACACACGCCCGGCACAUUUCAGGAUACUAAAAGUGGUUUUAAGGGAGGCUGUGGCUGAAUGCCUCAUGGAUUCUUACAGCUUGGAUGUCCAUGGGGGACGAAGGACUGCAGCUGGCUGAGAGGGUUGAGAUCUCUGUUUACUUAGAUCUCUGCCAACUUCCUUUGGGUCUCCCUAUGGAAUGUAAGACCCCGACUCUUCCUGGUGAAGCAUCUGAUGCACGUUCCAUCCGGCGCUCAGCUGGGCUUGAGCUGACCAUACUCCCUGGAGCCUUCUCCCGAGGUGCGCGGGUGACCUUGGCACAUACAGCCAUCAUGAUGGUACUUUAAGUGGAGGCUGAAUCAUCUCCCCUUUGAGCUGCUUGGCACGUGGCUCCCUUGGUGUUCCCCUUUUACUGCCAGGACACUGAGAUUUGGAGAGACCCCGGCCUUUCCAGGAUGCCUUUUGGAGCCCCUGCUGGCCACCACAUAUCAUGUUCUGAAGUUCUACAGCCCUCUGAGUUGGACACUGACCAUCUGGGGGCUCGAGUCAUCCUCAGAUUGAAUCCUGUUACACCUGGGAUUUAGGCACUUUCAAUCUGAAAAAAUACAUAUCCUUUCAGCACUCUGGACGGACUUGAGAACUGUCCUUACGUGACCUAAAGCUGGAGUAUUUUGAGAUUGGAGAAUUAAGAGUGUGGGCACCCUGGCUUCAAGCUCACGAGAAACCAGGUCGGGAUUUAAACAAUGUUGGGUUAAAGCAAAGUUUCAUAAAGACAGAAUCAAGAAAAAAAGAAAGAGAAA